RNAcentral lists this ribosomal RNA (398 nucleotides) under uncultured bacterium. Its description in RNAcentral is "partial 16S ribosomal RNA". It matches the Rfam family "Bacterial small subunit ribosomal RNA", at positions 523 to 918 of the family's 1533-position model. The record is from RNAcentral.
AUACGUAGGGUGCGAGCGUUGUCCGGAAUUACUGGGCGUAAAGAGCUCGUAGGUGGUUUGUCGCGUCGUCUGUGAAAUUCCGGGGCUUAACUCCUGGCGUGCAGGCGAUACGGGCAUAACUUGAGUACUGUAGGGGAGACUGGAAUUCCUGGUGUAGCGGUGAAAUGCGCAGAUAUCAGGAGGAACACCGGUGGCGAAGGCGGGUCUCUGGGCAGUAACUGACGCUGAGGAGCGAAAGCAUGGGUAGCGAACAGGAUUAGAUACCCUGGUAGUCCAUGCCGUAAACGGUGGGCGCUAGGUGUAGGGGUCUUCCACGACUUCUGUGCCGUAGCUAACGCAUUAAGCGCCCCGCCUGGGGAGUACGGCCGCAAGGCUAAAACUCAAAUGAAUUGACGGGG